GAUGAAGAUCGCAGCGAAAUGCGAUAAGUAGUGUGAAUUGCAGAAUUCAGUGAAUCAUCGAAUCUUUGAACGCACAUUGCGACCUUUGGUAUUCCAAAGGGCAUGCCUGUUCGAGCGUCAUUUGUACCCUCAAGCUUUGCUUGGUGUUGGGCGUCUUGUCUCUAGCUUUGCUGGAGACUCGCCUUAAAGUAAUUGGCAGCCGGCCUACUGGUUUCGGAGCGCAGCACAAGUCGCACUCUCUAUCAGCAAAGGUCUAGCAUCCAUUAAGCCUUUUUUUUCAACUUUUGACCUCGGAUCAGGUAGGGAUACCCGCUGAACUUAAGCAUAUCAAUAAGCGGAGGA
Molecule: unclassified non-coding RNA, 342 nt
Filed under: soil metagenome
Description: partial contains 5.8S ribosomal RNA, internal transcribed spacer 2, and large subunit ribosomal RNA
Rfam family: 5.8S ribosomal RNA (bases 1-120)
Source: RNAcentral